This 351-nucleotide unclassified non-coding RNA is filed under the name Hevea brasiliensis (rubber tree). Lineage: Eukaryota; Viridiplantae; Streptophyta; Magnoliopsida; Malpighiales; Euphorbiaceae. The record is from RNAcentral.
AAACUAGCAAGAACUGGGGGUCUUCCAACAAUUCUUGAAGAAUCAGAAUCUGAAGAAUUGGAGACUCCGAAGACGGUACAAAAGCUAAAGCCAAUGAAGAUUGAAGACCAAAAAUUUGAGCGCAAAGAUCUCCUGGAUGGGAUUCACAAGGUUUACAAGAGCUACUCGGACAAAAUGCGAAAAUUGGAGAUCUUGAACUUCCAGACCAUGCACUCACUUGGCUUACUGCAGAUGAAAGAGACAGUUCAGUUUCAGACAGCUCGGAAAUCUUCUGUUACAGCUGUUAUCUCUCUUCUUUCGCAGAACUUAUGGUUGUGCAAAGGGACGGCGGUGGUUGAUCCAGUGAAGAAG